RNAcentral lists this ribosomal RNA (255 nucleotides) under Theretra radiosa. RNAcentral describes it as "partial 28S ribosomal RNA". Lineage: Eukaryota; Metazoa; Arthropoda; Insecta; Lepidoptera; Sphingidae. The record is from RNAcentral.
CCUUUCGGGAGUCCCGGAUGUAUUCUUCGGGAUACAUUCAGGACCGAACUUGAUCGGGUGGCCGAUAAUGACGGGACGGUAUUUGACAAUGACGACGCGCACGCGUUUACAACGCGUCCGGCCCGACGCAAGACAACGUCGCCUAUCUUAUUCCUGCCUGUGUGCGGACUAGGGUGCGGCGCGUCUGUUGUCGCUGCCGUGUCGUCUCGGACUUGUGCGCGUCGUUUCACUUUAUGUGUAUGUCUGCGAUGAUUC